UAUCAAAAGUUAUCUUAUAUAGGACACCAAAAUUUAAAUAACACGUCAAACAAUUCAACAUACAAAUUUUAGUUUGUAUAAAAUUAAUUUUAAUGGAAAAGUUUGCCGAAACAAGCAUAGGAUUGUAGGAUUGGGCAAGAUACCCAAACCCGGAAAACCAAACCGAAUCCAACCAAAAUUUUAUACUAAACACAAACCGAAACUAGUAAAAUAUCCGAAAAAUCUAAAAUGUUGGUUCCUGAAGAACUGAAUCCAA
This 256-nucleotide long non-coding RNA is filed under the name Brassica napus (rape). RNAcentral's name for it is "long non-coding RNA (BNAP_LNC017803)". The record is from RNAcentral. Lineage: Eukaryota; Viridiplantae; Streptophyta; Magnoliopsida; Brassicales; Brassicaceae.